Molecule: long non-coding RNA, 366 nt
Organism: Mytilus californianus (California mussel)
Lineage: Eukaryota; Metazoa; Mollusca; Bivalvia; Mytilida; Mytilidae
Exons: 2
Source: RefSeq, a predicted model, not a curated record
UGUUUCAAACAAUCAACUGCAAUAUCAGCAUCUGUAAGUGAUAAAGAAACGAUGAUCAAAAGUAAGACUGGAGAUAUUCGUGAAAGCCUUGAAAAUCAUUAUGCACCACCCGUACCAGAGAUAUAUGACAAACUGGAUGAUAGAAGACAUGAACCUAAUAUAGCUGAAAAGUUUGAUACAAAUGUUGAACUUAAACAUUUAUCGGAAGAUAAAUGUGUAAUAGAGGAAAACAGAACAGAUCAUUUAGCACAACAGUCAGCUUUUUGAGAUUAAAAGAAAAAUUCAACCCUGACAAGACAAUAACACAAUAAAAGACACAUCAAUUUAUUGAAAACAUUACCAAACUCAUUUUAAUUAAGUUGUGUA